AGAGUUUGAUCCUGGCUCAGAAUCAACGCUGGCGGCGCGCUUAACACAUGCAAGUCGAACGAGAAAGCCCGCAAGGGUGAGUAAAGUGGCGUACGGGUGAGUAACACGUGGGUAAUCUACCUCUGGGUGGGGAAUAACUUUGGGAAACCGAAGCUAAUACCGCAUAACACUGAAAGGUCAAAGGCGCAAGUCGCCUGGAGAGGAGCCCGCGGCUGAUUAGCUAGUUGGUGAGGUAAAAGCUUACCAAGGCGAUGAUCGGUAGCCGGCCUGAGAGGGCACACGGCCACACUGGCACUGAAACACGGGCCAGACUCCUACGGGAGGCAGCAGUGGGGAAUCUUGCACAAUGGGGGAAACCCUGAUGCAGCGACGCCGCGUGAGCGAUGAAGCCCUUCGGGGUGUAAAGCUCUUUCGACCGGAACGAUAAUGACGGUACCGGGAGAAGAAGCUGCGGCUAACUACGUGCCAGCCGCCGCGGUAAUUC
RNAcentral lists this ribosomal RNA (484 nucleotides) under uncultured bacterium. Its description in RNAcentral is "bacterial SSU rRNA". It matches the Rfam family "Bacterial small subunit ribosomal RNA", at positions 8 to 526 of the family's 1533-position model. The record is from RNAcentral.